RNAcentral lists this unclassified non-coding RNA (352 nucleotides) under uncultured fungus. RNAcentral describes it as "partial contains small subunit ribosomal RNA, internal transcribed spacer 1, and 5.8S ribosomal RNA". The stretch from base 1 to 73 matches the Rfam family "Eukaryotic small subunit ribosomal RNA", at positions 1759 to 1831 of the family's 1831-position model. The record is from RNAcentral. Lineage: Eukaryota; Fungi.
GCAAACUUGGUCAUUUAGAGGAAGUAAAAGUCGUAACAAGGUUUCCGUAGGUGAACCUGCGGAAGGAUCAUUAUUGAAUGUUGCUUGAUGGGUUGUAGCUGGCUCUUCGGGGCAUGUGCACGCCUGUCUUGACUACUAUUCAUCCACCUGUGCACACUUUGUAGUCUUUUCGGGGUCUGGGAAGCGGGUCGACUUUUGUCGGCUCGUGUUGAACCUCCCUCGGGGACUAUGUCUUUAUUCAUACACCAUGUAGUAUGUUGCAGAAUGUAUUCAAUGGGCCCUCGUGCCUAUAAAACCUUAUACAACUUUCAGCAACGGAUCUCUUGGCUCUCGCAUCGAUGAAGAACGCAGC